RNAcentral lists this ribosomal RNA (486 nucleotides) under uncultured bacterium. RNAcentral describes it as "partial 16S ribosomal RNA". It matches the Rfam family "Bacterial small subunit ribosomal RNA", at positions 30 to 507 of the family's 1533-position model. The record is from RNAcentral.
AUUGAACGCUGGCGGCAUGCCUUACACAUGCAAGUCGAACGGCAGCACGGGUGCUUGCACCUGGUGGCGAGUGGCGAACGGGUGAGUAAUACAUCGGAACAUGUCCUGUAGUGGAGGAUAGCCCGGCGAAAGCCGGAUUAAUACCGCAUACGAUCUACGGAUGAAAGCGGGGGACCUUCGGGCCUCGCGCUAUAGGGUUGGCCGAUGGCUGAUUAGCUAGUUGGUGGGGUAAAGGCCUACCAAGGCGACGAUCAGUAGCUGGUCUGAGAGGACGACCAGCCACACUGGGACUGAGACACGGCCCAGACUCCUACGGGAGGCAGCAGUGGGGAAUUUUGGACAAUGGGCGAAAGCCUGAUCCAGCAAUGCCGCGUGUGUGAAGAAGGCCUUCGGGUUGUAAAGCACUUUUGUCCGGAAAGAAAUCCUUGGCCCUAAUACGGUCGGGGGAUGACGGUACCGGAAGAAUAAGCACCGGCUAACUACGUG